Cynoglossus semilaevis (tongue sole) is the source of this 1206-nucleotide long non-coding RNA. RefSeq lists it as uncharacterized. NCBI's taxonomy places the organism in Eukaryota, Metazoa, Chordata, Actinopteri, Pleuronectiformes, Cynoglossidae. The record is from RefSeq and is a predicted model, not a curated record. The transcript is spliced from 3 exons.
UUUUUUUAAUUUAUUUAUUUACUUUUUUAAUUUUGCCUGGAUGGGAGGUGUUGAGCUUAUGCUUUUUGGACUUAAGGAAAGUUAAUGAUUUUUAUACAUUUCAUUUCUUUAUAUGUCGCACAGUGGAGACGUCACAUUAAUAUGUAAGUCAGUUAAUUUCUUAAUGAGCGUUGUGUUGAAAAUUUUGAUAUAAAAAAUGCUAUUUAUGUCAUCUUUCUGAAAACAACGUCAGUCUAUUUUAUUGUAUUUGUUUUGCUUUGAGAUUGUCUCCGUCGGGUUGCCGUAGUGUGUGUCGUUUUGUUGAUACUCGCAGGUGUCCGCUGCUCCGUUUAGCCUCAGCUGGAGAAAAGUUUGGCUUCGUCACUCAGUCAAACAGAGUAACGUCACCGUGGCGAAACGAAGCAGCAGCACUUCCGACAGAAUGUAAACAGUUGAGUGAAGGUUAUUUUGGUGAUAUUUCACAGCAAACAGUCGCUGAUCCCGCUAACGCUCCGAGCUAGUUACCAACAGAAGUCCAACGGGAACAAUGGAAGGAAUUCUUUACAAAUGGACCAAUUAUAUGACAGGCUGGCAGCCCCGCUGGUUUGUCUUAGAGAAUGGAGUCAUCUCUUAUUACGACUGUGAGGAUGACGUCGGUAAAGGAAGUAAAGGAUCCAUCAAGAUGUCAGUGUGCGACAUUAAAGUUCAUCCAAAAGAUCCCACACGUCUGGAGUUGAUCAUUCCUGGUGAGCAGCAUUUUUAUGUCAAAGCUGUUAAUGCUGCAGAGAGACAACGAUGGCUGGUGGCGUUGGGCUCAUCCAAAGCUGGAACAUUGGAGAAUCACAAGCACAGAGGUACACAUGGCACUGUUAAUUUGUUAUGUUUGUCUUUAAGUUAAUUUUUGUGACUAUUUGUCUGAGACAAAUCUUCGUGGUUGUCGAACACCUGCUUUUAAACUUUUUAAACUUUUAGUUUAGCAUUUUUAGUCAUUUCUUGACAAUAGUAAGUCUUACUUGUUUUGGGUGAUAUUUUGACAAGUUCAAAUAUAAUGGUUUUUGGAGUUUUUAGUACAAAUGUUGUUUCAGGGCAUGUUUCAGGUUAAAACUUACAUUUUGAAUAAUUUAGCACAGUUUUUAGCACAAAAUAUUCUCUUGGUAGUAUGUUUUGGGGAAUAAACUUACAUUUCUGGGAAUUAUUUUUUGCAUUUUUAAUGAUAGUAAGGCUAUA